RNAcentral lists this ribosomal RNA (531 nucleotides) under Triticum aestivum (bread wheat). RNAcentral's name for it is "partial small subunit ribosomal RNA". Lineage: Eukaryota; Viridiplantae; Streptophyta; Magnoliopsida; Poales; Poaceae. The record is from RNAcentral.
AUGCAGGGGCUGCUGAAGAGAGGGGCCAAGUAUGUCGUGGUGCAGGGGAUGCCGCUGACGGGGUGCUUGCCGUUGGCGAUGACGCUGUCACAGCCGUGGGACCGGGACAACCUCAGCUGCGUGGCGUCCAUUAACCAGCAGAACCUCGACCACAACCACCACCUCCAGGCGGGGCUCCACCGGCUCCGGCGUAGCCACCCGGACGCCAUCAUCGCCUACACCGACUAUCACGCCGCGCACCUCGCCGUGGUGCGCAGCCCGACCAGGUACGGCUUCGCGGAGCCCUUCAAGGCCUGCUGCGGCACAGGCGGCGGCACCUACAACUUCGAGAUCAUCUCCACCUGCGGCUCGCCGGAGGUCGCCACCGCCUGCGCCCAGCCCGCCAGGUACGUCAACUGGGACGGGGUGCACAUGACCGAGGCCAUGUACAAGGUCGUCGCCGGCAUGUUCUUCCACGACGCCACCGGGGCGUACUGUCGGCCGACCUUCGGCUCCCUGCUCGCCGCCAGGAAGAAAGGCCACACCAAGUGA